AUUGAACGCUGGCGGCAGGCCUAACACAUGCAAGUCGAGCGGAUGAAGGGAGCUUGCUCCUGGAUUCAGCGGCGGACGGGUGAGUAAUGCCUAGGAAUCUGCCUGGUAGUGGGGGAUAACGUCCGGAAACGGGCGCUAAUACCGCAUACGUCCUGAGGGAGAAAGUGGGGGAUCUUCGGACCUCACGCUAUCAGAUGAGCCUAGGUCGGAUUAGCUAGUUGGUGGGGUAAAGGCCUACCAAGGCGACGAUCCAUAACUGGUCUGAGAGGAUGAUCAGCCACACUGGAACUGAGACACGGUCCAGACUCCUACGGGAGGCAGCAGUGGGGAAUAUUGGACAAUGGGCGAAAGCCUGAUCCAGCCAUGCCGCGUGUGUGAAGAAGGUCUUCGGAUUGUAAAGCACUUUAAGUUGGGAGGAAGGGCAGUAAGUUAAUACCUUGCUGUUUUGACGUUACCAACAGAAUAAGCACCGGCUAACUUCGUG
This 484-nucleotide ribosomal RNA is filed under the name uncultured bacterium. RNAcentral's name for it is "partial 16S ribosomal RNA". It matches the Rfam family "Bacterial small subunit ribosomal RNA", at positions 30 to 507 of the family's 1533-position model. The record is from RNAcentral.